Cricetulus griseus (Chinese hamster) is the source of this 1982-nucleotide non-coding RNA. The record is from RefSeq and is a predicted model, not a curated record. NCBI's taxonomy places the organism in Eukaryota, Metazoa, Chordata, Mammalia, Rodentia, Cricetidae.
UGGGGCGUGAAGGAAAACGCCAUGACCAUCCAAUGGGCAGCGGUUGCCAGCUUUCUGUAUGCCGAGAUAGGACUCAUUUUAAUCUUCUGUCUGCCCUUUAUCCCUCCUCAGAGAUGGCAGAAGAUUUUUUCAUUUAGUGUCUGGUCUAAAAUUGCAAGUUUUUGGAACAAAGCUUUUCUUACCAUUAUAAUACUAUUAAUCGUUCUAUUUUUAGAUGCUGUGAGAGAAGUAAGGAAGUAUUCCUCCACUCAAGUCACUGAGAAGAGCUCAGCCGGCAGGCCUAGUGCCUAUGAGCACACACAGAUGAAGCUCUUUAGGUCCCAAAGGAAUCUUUAUAUUUCAGGAUUCUCAUUAUUUUUUUGGCUAGUGUUGAGACGUCUGGUUUCGCUUAUUACUCAGCUGGCAAAGGAAAUAUCAAACAAAGCAGUGCUUAAAAUUCAAGCAGAAAAUACCAAUAAGGCUGCCAAGAAAUUCAUGGAAGAGAAUGAAAAGCUAAAAUGGGUACUAAAAAACAAUGGCAAGGAUGAAGAACAAAUUUUGGAAACUGAAAAUAAAAAGCUAGUAGAAGACCAGGAGAAACUGAAAACUGAAUUGAAGAAGGCUUCAGAUGUUGGUGGAGUUGUCUGGGAAGGAAUAACAGGCAUGGCCUCUCUUUCUCUCUGGCCUCAGUGUGCUCUUUGCCUCCUUUUUGGACUGAAUGUGAGUGUUAAGAUGUUCCUGCCACCAUGCCUUUGCUUUGCCAUCAUGGAUUCUAACCCUCAAAAACGCCCUUUUAAAGGCACAAAACGAUGUGGUAACUAUGAAGAUGCAGUCAGAGAGACUUUCAAAAGAAUAUGAUCGACUCCUGAAAGAACACUCAGAACUUCAGGUUACUGAACUAGAAAGAGCAUCUAAAGAACCGUUUGGAAAAAGACAAAAAGAAAGUCCUGUGAAUUAAUUUUAUAAAAGAAGAUUGUCAUACACCGUGUCAAGAAAAUAAAUUUGUUAUCAUGGUAGCCACUAACAUUUUCAAAAUUCAGCCAAAAAAGCUCUGCUAGCAGCCACAGGCGCACAUAGGCUAUAUAGUACUGAUGUUAUCAAAAUAUUUGAUAAUGCUUCAGAUAUAAAGUAUGUGUUUCAGCUCUAUUGAAAAAUAUAAGCAUGUGAAUGCCAUAUUUAUAUAUUGCUAAUAGCAUUGGUAUAUAGUGGCUCUUUCCCCAUAAAAGGAAAAAUUCACUAGCCAUUUGCUUCCCAAAAUAGUUCUGAAGUUGCAUGAAACCAUUAUUAGCCUUAAAAGCUUUGAUGUGUUUUCAGUAAUAAUCAGUGGUGGUGGUGAAAAUGAUGUUUAAAAAUGGUACUCAGUCAGAAAAUUUGUUCACAGGGAAAUAACCAUAAAUAACCACAAUAGCCACUGUAUUAAUAGAGGAGAGUCAGAGAGAACAAUGAAAACAAUGGCCGUAGGGUUUCUUCAGCCUAGUGAGUCCACUACACAUGGCAGCCUAGUGAGUACUCUACACAUGGCAGCACUAUUGUUAGCUGUGUUUUUUGUUACUAUGCUUCUGUACCUAUUAGACUAUUUUUAAUUGAUAUGUGUUUAGUCAUAUAUAAUCAAUAUUCUAUCUUUGCAAGUUCAUCUAGUAAUAGAAUUUAUGUCCAUUUGUGUAACAGUCGUAACAUUGGACUGAACUAUGUUGCACUGUGGAAUUCUCCACUUACAAAGCUCAUUUAUGACAUCCAAAAGGUCAUGUUUCUUAUGCUUGUGAAAGUUACUGACUAUAUAUAUAUUAAUUACCUCAGUAUACAUGCACUGGUAUCAAACAGAUCUCUCAACGAUGUUUCUGUAUUUUCAAAGUUAAAUACUGGUUUUCAUGCAAAUAUUCAUGUAGAGGUAGUAAUUAUAGUAAUAUAAUUUAGAUUAUUUCAAUGUUUAACUGUGAAAAGCCACUUGUCUUAAAAUGAUUUAAAUAUAAAAGAAAAUAUAAAGCAAUAAUUGGAGUUUUUAA